GGAGGGCAAGUCUGGUGCCAGCAGCCGCGGUAAUUCCAGCUCCAAUAGCGUAUAUUAAAGUUGUUGCAGUUAAAAAGCUCGUAGUUGAACCUUGGGCCUGGCUGGCCGGUCCGCCUCACCGCGUGCACUGGUUCGGCCGGGCCUUUCCCUCUGGGGAACCCUAUGGUCUUCACUGAUCGUAGCGGGGAACCAGGACUUUUACUGUGAAAAAAUUAGAGUGUUCAAAGCAGGCCUAUGCUCCAAUACAUUAGCAUGGAAUAAUAAAAUAGGACGUGUGGUUCUAUUUUGUUGGUUUCUAGGACCGCCGUAAUGAUUAAUAGGGACAGUCGGGGGCAUCACUAUUCAAUUGUCCCAGGUGAAAUUCUUGAAUUUAUUGAAGACUAACUACUGCGAAAGCAUUUGCCAAGGAUGUUUUCAUUAAUCACGAACGAAAGUUAGGGGAUCGAAGACGAUCAAAUACCGUCAUAGUCUUAACCAUAAACUAUGCCGACUACGGAUCGGACGGUGUUAUUUUUGACCCGUUCGGCACCUUACGGGAAAC
RNAcentral lists this ribosomal RNA (541 nucleotides) under uncultured Pestalotiopsis. Its description in RNAcentral is "SSU rRNA". It matches the Rfam family "Eukaryotic small subunit ribosomal RNA", at positions 550 to 1098 of the family's 1831-position model. Lineage: Eukaryota; Fungi; Ascomycota; Sordariomycetes; Amphisphaeriales; Amphisphaeriaceae. The record is from RNAcentral.